GCCGCCGAGAGGAAAGUCCGGGCAGCGCGAGCCACCAUGCUUCCUAACGGGAAGGCACCCCUCAUCGGGCUCUAUGGGGUUCCCCAGGGGUGACAGCAAGCGCCACAGAAAACAAACCGCCGAUUAUGCAGGGACAACUCCUUGCAUAAAGCAAGGGUGAAAACGCGGGGUAAGAGCCCACGACGUGUCCCGGUGACGGGCACGAUGGCAAGCCUCAUGGGCUGAAAGACCAAAUAAACCGACAACCUCGGGCCGGCUCGCCCGAUAGCCAAAAGGCUGUUGUCGGAGGGUAGGUCGAUAGAGACCGUCGGCGACGGCGGCCCCAGAUUGAUGAUAGAAGACCCGCAAGGGGUUACAGAACCCGGCUUACAGGCCC
This 376-nucleotide RNase P RNA is filed under the name bovine gut metagenome. Its description in RNAcentral is "Bacterial RNase P class A". It matches the Rfam family "Bacterial RNase P class A", at positions 35 to 357 of the family's 367-position model. Rfam says of the family: Ribonuclease P (RNase P) is a ubiquitous endoribonuclease, found in archaea, bacteria and eukarya as well as chloroplasts and mitochondria. The record is from RNAcentral.